ACCCUCACCCUAACCCUAACCUUAACCCUCACCCUAACCCUAACCCUAACACUUACCUUAACCCUCACCCUAACCCUAACCCUAACCCUAACACUAACCUUAACCCUCACCCUAACCCUAACCCUAACCCCGUGGAAGCAGUGAACACAGCCCCUGUAUUAAAGCCAGAUCCUCCAAUUAUGCUGCAUGAAUGCAAGGUUUCUCAUGACUGCAUCCUAGACGUUCAAUGCAUGUCUGGCAAGAAGCAGUGCAGUUAUUAUGGCGAAUCUCACAAAUGCAGAGGAUCCUGCAACAAAUAUGCCGUUUGCAACUAUGGUCAGUUCUGGGUCAGAUCAUGUCCAUUCGACUGGUCCUACCACCCAGAGUUGCAUACAUGCACAUCAGGAAAACGAUGUAUGAACGCUCCUCAAACUAAAUCCAUCGCCCAACGCCAAACACGGCCGACAUGGAACGCGACCCAAAGACAGAACCCAUACCUUCAAAACUACAGACAAAUAGGUUUUGGUUCCGGAAAAUUUUGAGAUACUUUUGGAUAAAUGUUAUUUAGAUCUACGUCUAGAUAUUCUCUUCUUUCUUAUGUAGGAGCAACUUAUUUACUCAUAUUGUUUUUCUCUUUCUUUUCAUGUUAAUUUGCCUCGGUUUGAAAAAGAUUCGGAAGUAAAUCGUUGUUUGUUUCUAACGUUGCUUUUACUUUUGCGUUGAUUCGUAUAAUAUUAGAUCAUAUAGAGUUCCCUUGAAGGAGAACCAUACACGUGCUUGGGCAUUCGUCACAGUAUUUUACCAAAAGACAACGUUGCACACACAACUGUGCGUUAAACACUGACGAUUAAGUCCUAGAAAUCCAGUUUACCACAACCUGGUUGAUUUACGUUAUCCGUUACUAUAGAUAUUGUUUUUUAAUUGUAUAUACCAUUAUGAUAACUAUGUACAAACUAAAAGAGGAUAAAACUCAUAAUAAAAUCGUUUUUUGUUGUAGUGUAUAACUUUUUAAUUUCUGCCAAUUGUGUUGUGGUAUAUUGUAGCUCACAACAUUUUGUUUUUCUCGAUCGGGAUAAAAUGACUUUGUUCCUAAUGGCACCAGGGACAGGAGGACAAUUAAAGGUUUCUAAUAUUCAGAGAUUUUAUUCUGAUUUUACUUUGAUUGGGAGACGAGCAUUGGGAACUAUGGUUCUCUGUUCCCGGAAUAACAACUUGUAGACAAAAUUUGGAUAUUGUGGACCAAUUCAACCCUGGAACACCGACAGAUGGGCUGGCAUGGAGUACACCCAAUUUAAUUAAAUAUCUCAGAAAUAUCAAGAGUUUUCCAUUAUUUGACAAAUAGAUAUUUUUGUAAAUAACAAAUUUACUUUCAACAUAUCUCAUUUUUUUAGCCAGGUUCUAUUAAGGUACACUUCCGCCAUUUAAAUAUUGAACGAGUACCUGGUGUCAUCCCUGAUUUGCAGUGAGAUAUUCAAAUAAUUUUCACCGCUAUUUUUCCUUUUACGCCGAGUGAAAUCUGUUUUAUAAAAUAUCCAAAUUGAUUAUUCUCUGGGAUUGACGUCAUAUUUACUUGAAAAGGGUAGAUUUAAAAACGAUAUUACAUGGCAGUAGUUUAGUCAGCAGAUCUACAAACAUGACUAUUCUUAAAUCAGUUCCCGAUAUCAUUGUCAAAAGCAAAAGAUUCGAGUAACUUAAUUUUAUGUAUGUAGUAAUGGAAAGCUGCUUGCUUCAAUGUAUCGGCUUUGUGUAUUUCAUUUGUGCAUUUAGUAUGU
This 1751-nucleotide long non-coding RNA is filed under the name Haliotis rufescens (red abalone). RNAcentral describes it as "uncharacterized LOC124146338". The record is from RNAcentral. Lineage: Eukaryota; Metazoa; Mollusca; Gastropoda; Lepetellida; Haliotidae.